RNAcentral lists this transfer RNA (71 nucleotides) under Antodynerus aff. limbatus GX. RNAcentral's name for it is "tRNA-Met". RNAcentral also lists the same sequence under 2 other names. Lineage: Eukaryota; Metazoa; Arthropoda; Insecta; Hymenoptera; Vespidae. The record is from RNAcentral.
UUAUAGGUAAGCUAAUUAAGCUAUUAGACUCAUACUCUAAAAAUAUAAAUUUUUAAUAUUUAUUCUAUAAU